Ornithorhynchus anatinus (platypus) is the source of this 1663-nucleotide long non-coding RNA. RefSeq lists it as uncharacterized. The transcript is spliced from 4 exons. The record is from RefSeq and is a predicted model, not a curated record. NCBI's taxonomy places the organism in Eukaryota, Metazoa, Chordata, Mammalia, Monotremata, Ornithorhynchidae.
GCCGCGAGGAAGCGUUGUGUUUCCGCUCUGUGGCCGCCGCCGCCCGGCCAAGGCGCUCAGUACGCUGCUGCUGUUGAUGAUGGUGAGAGUGACGCCAUUCGAGGGAGACAGAUCUUCUGUCCCAUUAUGGCUGGGGUGGUACACUGUCUGUCCCUGGGGGCCCCCUGAACCUGCGUGCUCUUGGAAGCCAGCACGGGCGGGUUGAAGAAGAGGCCCGAGAAGUCCUUGGGCUCCGGGGUUUUCUGGCUGUGACCAUGGGCAGUUUGAGCGGGAGUUGGCUACGGUGACUGUGGGACCUUCACGCGGAGUGUGACUGGUGACGACUCAGGAUUCAGUCGCCGGGACCGGAGGGAUCCAAGCUCCGGGAUCAUUGGGCAGCCACGGAUCCGCGGGAUGGCGACCUCAACCUGGCGUGCGGGGAGCCGGCGGGCCGGAAGACCUCCGUAGCCCGUGAAGGACGGCGGGGGCCGUCGUGCUGGGUCCAGAGCAAUGGUGGAGCCGACGGGUGGGUGGUACUGGGGGUCAAGUGGGUGCGGCAGAGGUGAGAGAGAAAGUAACCCGUUGCAGGCCAGAGCCAGGUGUUGUGACUGGCCCUACCGGGUGAGGGAGCUGGAGACAUACCAAAGGUAGGGAGGAAGUCGCCUCAGGCAGUGGGUAAGGGAGGGCUCUGGGCAUUGGAUCCAGAGCAACGGUGUCAUGGUGGUGUAUGUCGGGGAGUUGGGGGUGGGAGGGUAGAAGGGGAGGGAAGCCGGUAUAGGAGUUUCCCUUGGGGAGGUGGUUCAGGAAGAGAAAGCAGGGUCCAAGCAGGGUCCAAGCAGGCCUUGGUGGGCCAACAGCUGGACCGGCAACCCUGGGGAAGGCAGUAGCAUACUCACUCAGCCACACAAAGAGUGGGCUGGGGAAAGUGGCAAGUCAAACUGGGGCCAAUUUCUCCCCAAAACCAGCUUCGCACUUCCCGGGGAAGCGGUGGGUGGCUUGGGGAUCAGAGCCGAUAUUGAGUUUCAAAUGAGGAAGGUGAGAGGGCAGCAGGUGGGAGAUUUUUCCCAGAGAAUUAGGAAGGUCCAGCCUCCUCAGGAGCCUGGCAGGAACUGGUUCUCCCUGAAGCCUGCGGUGCCUCAAAUCCUCAGAGCAUGCAGGAGGUUGCACAGGGUGGGGAGGGACUUGGGCUCGGCCGUGGCCCCCGCCGUGCCGAGCCAAGUCCCGGGGGGUGGGCGGAAGAAAAGGAGGGAAAAGGACCGGGGACUGCCAGGCUUUACACUUGAGACCCAUUGGGCUCUUUAGGCCUAGGGGAGUGGUAGCUCCUCUCCCCUCUAAGGUCACUGCUUUGACUUCCCACCCCUCCUAUUGUCCCCUGUUUUUCCUCGGCUGUUGCGGGAAAUGACUUGCCAGAGGGCAACAAUCAAUCAGUCAUUCAGUGGUAUUACUGAGCGCUUAGGGUGUGCCAAAUACUGUACAGACCACUUGGGAGGGGGUACAGCAGAGUUGGUGGAAAGGUUCCCUGUCGUCAACGAGCUUGUGGUCUAGGUGGGGAGACUCCCGCUGAUAUAAAGAAAUGGAUUAUGGGUAUGUAUGUCCUAAGAGCCUUGGGGCUAAGGGUGGAGUGACUUCCAAGUGCCCAAAGGUACAGAUCGAAAUGCGUAGGCGGCGAAGGAGGAGGGGACAA